UGUUUAGUUGUUGGAUUGUGGACUUGAAUUAUACGAGUUGUGUGUUAAUAGAAUAUAUUGUCGUUUUGCCUAUAUGUUACUAUUUGUGGUGAUAGAAAAUAAUAUUAGAAUUGUUAUUAUUAUAAUAUUAACUUUAACCUAGCCCUCGAAGGAUGACAUGUAGUUCGAAGGAUUCGAAGGACCACGAAGGAUAACCUUCGACCCCGAAACAUAUCCUUCGAGCACGAAACAUAUCCUUCGAUAUGUUUCGGCCCAGUCCUUCCAAUGGGCUUGGCCCAUUUCUGUAAUACGUAUAAGUACGUAUCAACAUGUACCGGCUGUCAUUUUCUAUCAUAUUCCCAACCCUAGAGCUCUCCAAACUGUGACGGCAAGCUAGUAACCACAGGAGACCCUUGCGACCAAACCCUCAUUUCGGUUAGUAAAAUCUAUUUGAUUCGAUCGUUCGUUUAUGCGUAUGUGUUCACGUGUAGUGUGUUCUUGAUUGUUGAUGUAACCUGAACUGAUACAUGCCUGAAUAUUAUGAUUUUGAAUACGAUGGAAUAUCGAUAUAGAUUUCACAUAGGGUUUGAUGAUGUGUUAAUGUGCGUUAACCGGUUUCGUGAUACGUUUAAACUAGGUUCAUGCUAGACAAUGAUUUCUGGAUGAUUGCGUUAUGAUUAGAUGUGCUAAAUGAUUCUGAUGAUUUGGUAAUGAUGAUGAUGACGGCUGUAUAGAUGAUUAGGGUUGCUGUUCCUGUGAAAACAUCGUUAGGUAGUGUCGAAAGAUGCUUGUAGUCGAAACAUAGCAUUGACCGAAGGAUAGAUAUGACCGAAACAUAAUUAAGUUGACCGAAAGAUACCUUAGGUCGAAAGAUGACUGAUGGUACGAAACAUACCAACUAGUCCGAAAGAUAACUGUGAAAACUUGUAAGUGUCGAAAGAUCACUGAUGUGUCGAAAGUUAGCAGUGGAUCGAAGGAUAGUAGCAAUUAUAAACAUCCUUCGAAGGAUGGAAUGUAUACAUGAACUAUUUGACAUGCCAUGCUUGAUGAUGAAUGUUUACAUUUGUAAUUGUGUGCACUAGCUGAUGAGUAACUAGGAAAUGGUACGUGUGCGCCGACGUACAAACUGACUGUUACGUGAACAUUGUAUUGCAUGCGAAUCAUUGCGAACAUGAACUGAUUUGUUAUACGUGCAUACACUAGGACGUGAUUAAUUACUUGUGAGUGCAUA
This 1210-nucleotide long non-coding RNA is filed under the name Helianthus annuus (common sunflower). RNAcentral's name for it is "hypothetical non coding rna". The record is from RNAcentral. Lineage: Eukaryota; Viridiplantae; Streptophyta; Magnoliopsida; Asterales; Asteraceae.